UACGGAGGGUGCGAGCGUUGUCCGGAAUCACUGGGCGUAAAGGGCGCGUAGGUGGCGACCCAAGUCGAUGGUGAAAGCUCGCCGCUCAACGGCGAGUCGGCCACCGAUACUGGGUUGCUGGAGCACUGUAGAGGCAGAUGGAAUUCCGGGUGUAGCGGUGGAAUGCGUAGAGAUCCGGAAGAACACCGGUGGCGAAGGCGGUCUGCUGGGCAGUUGCUGACACUGAGGCGCGACAGCGUGGGGAGCAAACAGGG
Molecule: ribosomal RNA, 254 nt
Filed under: uncultured bacterium
Lineage: Bacteria
Description: partial 16S ribosomal RNA
Rfam family: Bacterial small subunit ribosomal RNA
Source: RNAcentral